This 786-nucleotide ribosomal RNA is filed under the name uncultured bacterium. RNAcentral describes it as "bacterial SSU rRNA". It matches the Rfam family "Bacterial small subunit ribosomal RNA", at positions 54 to 841 of the family's 1533-position model. The record is from RNAcentral.
CAUGCAGUCGAACGGAGAUUACAGGCGGAAGUUUUCGGAUGGAAGCUUGUAAACUUAGUGGCGGACGGGUGAGUAACACGUGAGCAACCUGCCUAUCAGAGGGGGAUAACGAUUGGAAACGAUCGCUAAUACCGCAUGACAUAGCGGAACCGCAUGGUUCUGUUAUCAAAGAUUUAUCGCUGAUAGAUGGGCUCGCGUCCGAUUAGAUAGUUGGUGGGGUAACGGCCUACCAAGUCGACGAUCGGUAGCCGGACUGAGAGGUCGAACGGCCACAUUGGGACUGAGACACGGCCCAGACUCCUACGGGAGGCAGCAGUGGGGGAUAUUGCACAAUGGGGGAAACCCUGAUGCAGCGACGCCGCGUGAGGGAAGACGGUCCUCUGGAUUGUAAACCUCUGUCUUCGGGGACGAAACGAGACGGUACCCGAGGAGGAAGCCACGGCUAACUACGUGCCAGCAGCCGCGGUAAUACGUAGGUGGCAAGCGUUGUCCGGAAUUACUGGGUGUAAAGGGAGCGUAGGCGGGCAGGCAAGUCAGGCGUGAAAUAUAUCGGCUCAACCGGUAACGGCGCUUGAAACUGCAGGUCUUGAGUGAAGUAGAGGUUGGCGGAAUUCCUAGUGUAGCGGUGAAAUGCGUAGAUAUUAGGAGGAACACCAGUGGCGAAGGCGGCCAACUGGGCUUUUACUGACGCUGAGGCUCGAAAGUGUGGGGAGCAAACAGGAUUAGAUACCCUGGUAGUCCACACCGUAAACGAUGAUUACUAGGUGUGGGGGGACUGACCCCUUC